CGAAAAGUACAAAUUCUGUGGCAAAACAAGUUAAUAUCUUGAAUAUCUUUGUUGUCGAGAUGAUUAUUUUCUGGUUAUGAAGGCUAUUUAUUGAUUCAUGGUCAUGAUAAUUUAGGGGAAUAAUCUAUCAAUGGCCAACUUUGCUUUUCUUUUUCAUAGAUGAUCGGUAGUGUUUCAUCAUUUUUCUCUAACUAUUUAUUUAUUUGUUUGUUUGUAUACUGAUUUUGUUUUGCUCCUUAAUUCCUAUCGAUUCAAGGUCUCAUUGCUCCUCAUUCCUAUAACUGUGCAUCAUUUUUUUGCUCCUCAAUCCUAUUUUUUUGUUCAUGUAUUGCUGGUUUAUGGGAUUAUUGUGCACUUUUUCAUUUUGACGAAAUAUUUGAUAACUGACUGUUGGUGUAUCGGUUGUCGUUGUUCUCAACUUUUUGUUUGGUUGUGACAUUUUAUACUAAUUUAUUUUUUUAUUUGUUACAAGUUAUCUAUCAUAUAUUGCAACUUCAUACUCUUAAAAUCUG
Molecule: long non-coding RNA, 512 nt
Filed under: Amborella trichopoda
Lineage: Eukaryota; Viridiplantae; Streptophyta; Magnoliopsida; Amborellales; Amborellaceae
Description: long non-coding RNA (ATRI_LNC004368)
Source: RNAcentral